GAUGAACGCUGGCGGCGUGCCUAAUACAUGCAAGUCGAGCGAACAGACGAGGAGCUUGCUCCUCUGACGUUAGCGGCGGACGGGUGAGUAACACGUGGAUAACCUACCUAUAAGACUGGGAUAACUUCGGGAAACCGGAGCUAAUACCGGAUAAUAUAUUGAACCGCAUGGUUCAAUAGUGAAAGACGGUUUUGCUGUCACUUAUAGAUGGAUCCGCGCCGCAUUAGCUAGUUGGUAAGGUAACGGCUUACCAAGGAGACGAUGCGUAGCCGACCUGAGAGGGUGAUCGGCCACACUGGAACUGAGACACGGUCCAGACUCCUACGGGAGGCAGCAGUAGGGAAUCUUCCGCAAUGGGCGAAAGCCUGACGGAGCAACGCCGCGUGAGUGAUGAAGGUCUUCGGAUCGUAAAACUCUGUUAUUAGGGAAGAACAAAUGUGUAAGUAACUAUGCACGUCUUGACGGUACCUAAUCAGAAAGCCACGGCUAACUACGUG
This 497-nucleotide ribosomal RNA is filed under the name uncultured bacterium. RNAcentral's name for it is "partial 16S ribosomal RNA". It matches the Rfam family "Bacterial small subunit ribosomal RNA", at positions 28 to 507 of the family's 1533-position model. The record is from RNAcentral.